CUACGGGGUGCAGCAGUGAGGAAUAUUGCGCAAUGGGCGAAAGCCUGACGCAGCGACGCCGCGUGGAGGAUGAAGGUCUUCGGAUUGUAAACUUCUGUUAAGUGGGAAGAAAGACUCUCUUCUAAUAAAAGAGAGGGAUGACUGUACCAUUAGAGAAAGCACCGGCUAACUUCGUGCCAGCAGCCGCGGUAAUACGAAGGGUGCGAGCGUUAUUCGGAUUUAUUGGGCGUAAAGGGUGUGUAGGUGGUAAUCUAAGUCAGCUGUUAAAGAUCCCGGCCUAAAUGGGAAAAUGCGGCAGAUACUGGGUUGCUAGAGGAAGGAAGAGAGGAGUGGAAUUCUCGGAGUAGCGGUAAAAUGCGUGGAUCUCGAGAGGAACACCAAUGGCGAAGGCAGCUCCUUGGUCCUUUUCUGACACUGAAACACGAAAGCGUGGGGAGCAAACAGGAUUAGAUACCCCAGUAGUC
This 464-nucleotide ribosomal RNA is filed under the name uncultured bacterium. RNAcentral's name for it is "partial 16S ribosomal RNA". It matches the Rfam family "Bacterial small subunit ribosomal RNA", at positions 339 to 795 of the family's 1533-position model. The record is from RNAcentral.